AUCAAACCAGACUGAAGGAUUCUUCAGUGAAUACUGAAAAUAUCAUACUGAUACCAAGGGCUGGAACAAGAUGAUCUGUAAGGUCCCCUCCAACUCAAGCCUUUCUAUGAUCCUAUAAUAUGGCUAUAUAAAUACCUGAUGAAGGAAGAGUUCCACGUGCUUGGAAAAUCAUCCCUGAACUCUGUGGAGAAAUAUGCCUGCAGCCAUAUUUCUUAAAUGUAUAAGAUUCCCCAUCUCCAGAUUUCUGUCCAGCCUAUGCAUGGAAUCACAAAUGACCUGUCUCCAAAUCAGCCAGAUCUUGGGAAGAAUUUGUUUCAAAAUUGAUCUAAAAUUAAAACAGCAUAGAACCAGAGAACAUCCUGAGUUGGAAGGGACCUGGAAGGGUC
This is a long non-coding RNA of Gallus gallus (chicken), 386 nucleotides long. Lineage: Eukaryota; Metazoa; Chordata; Aves; Galliformes; Phasianidae. The record is from Ensembl.